Rattus norvegicus (Norway rat) is the source of this 4608-nucleotide non-coding RNA. The record is from RefSeq and is a predicted model, not a curated record. Lineage: Eukaryota; Metazoa; Chordata; Mammalia; Rodentia; Muridae.
CUGGUCUACAGAGCAAGUUCCAGGACAGCCAGGGCUACACAGAGAAAUCCUGUCUCCAAAAACAAAACAACAUAAACAAACAUUGCCCCCCAAUCUACAUAUGGGAACUAGAGAGAUGACUCCACCGGUAAGAGCGCGUGCAGCUCUUGUACUGGACUCACAUGGGGGCUCAGACAUUUGUCUCUCCAAUUCUAGGGAAGAUGGUGCCCUCUUCUGGCCCCAUAGGGGCUGAAUGCAUGUUGUACACAUAUACACAUACAUGCAGGCAAAACACUCAUACACAUAAAAUAAAAAUGAGCAUCUUUAAAAUCGACAUAUUGCACUUAUAUAAAAUGUCUAGGCUAAAGGAAAUCUAUAGACAGUUGAUUUGUGGUUGUCUAGGAGUGGGAUUGGGACCUUAUGGAGAUGGUGGAGGUGAGAGGCUAAGGAGUUCACUUUAAUUAAUUUAUUUUGUUUGUUUUUACAUGUCUGCCCGUAUUGCCUGCAUGGAUCUGUGAGCACCACUUGCAUGGACCACCGUAUGAAUGCUGGGAAUCAAACUCAGGUUCCCUGGAAUAGCAGCCACUGUUCUAACCACCUGUGUCAUCUCUCUAGUCCCAUGGAUCAGGAGUUGAGUAUCAUCCUCAGUCACACAGCAAGGUCCAGGCCAUAUUGGGCCACAUGAAAUUGUCUUUAAAAAUGGGGAAAAGUCGAGGGAUAUGGCUCAGGAAGUGGAGGCAGAAGGAUCAGAAGUUCAAGACGAUCUUUGACUACUUACAAUUGGGAAUCACCCUGUACCUUAUGGGACCUCAUUCCCCAAAUGAACAAAAAACAAUAGAGUAAGUUUUGUAGAGAGUGAAAGGUGGCUUGUUUUGGUGGGGUGUCCAUGGACCAUGGUUUGCAGUUAAACCAAUGACAUGUGGAAGCAAUUAGAGGUGCACGUGGAGCCCAUAUUGAACAUUGGAGAUCUUUGGGGUGUCGUUGCAGGUUCUUGGAUAACCCACUCAGAAUCAAGAGAGGGUGGUGUGGAGAUUACAGAGAGUGUUUGGGGUCAACAGAAGAUGUUUCCCAUGCCUCAUUGAAAGAGCACUGACCUAUUAUAUAUGAGGCCCUGGGUUCCUGAAACUCUUGGUACCGCAAAUGAAUGAAUGAUAUAAAAGCUGUUUAGAAGUUAUUGGCUUCAAGGGUCGAUUGAGGAUAGCGAAGAAGGAAUAAUUCGGAGGCUACGGAUGGCAGUUUAUUGGUGUACACUGAAUAUUGAUGAAGGGUGGACUGGAGGUAUUGUUUGGGAGUAACAGUUGAGAGAACUAUGGGAAGUGAUUUGGAGAUGCAAUUCAGACAUAAAGAGUGAUUUGGAGGCUACUGGAGUGUAGCUUGAAGCACACACUCUAAGGGCAUACUAUGAAAAAAUGUGCAUACAAUUUUGACAUUCAUGGAGGGUAACUUGCAGGUCUAACCUAGGGUCAACAAAUGAUUUCUACAUGCUUGAUCAAUAGAAUUGUGUGUAGGUGCAGGCCAAUGACAGCAGAGAAUGGCCUAGCCUAAAGGUACUGAUUGAGAUCAGACAAUACUUUGGAGCUAUAAUUUGGAGGAUGAUGGAAGGUCGUUUUGGGGAGCAUCUAGGAGACGGCAAUAGGAGCUUUUGGGAGUACUUUAGAGGCGUGAUAAAGGCUUAUAGAUAGCACUUGGGAUAUUGUCUUGGGGAAGAGUGACUUGGAGUCAGAGGCUCAGGGCGGCUCACCUAGGGGGUGUGGCUUAAAGCUCUGCCGCCCCCAAAAGCGCGUGCGCACAAACUCCCCGCUUCUUCUUCGUUUCUGGUGCUCCCAAAGCAGGAAAACCUAAGACCCAAGCUGGCGCCUGCGCACUUUGUCUCUGCCGCUGCUGUGGUCCCGCGCCCCGCCCCCCUCGUCCUCCAGCCCCCUAGGUUCGCGCUCAGCAGCGGAGGUGGUUGUGCAGCCAGAAACGGACGUCCUGAGUUAAAGGUGAGGGGCGCGGGGCCGCCGCCCACGGCGGGGCCACCGCACCUCCCCCACCAUCUGGGGGUCCCCCAUCUGCUCCUGAAGGCGAACGCUUGUGCUUGCGGUCAAACGCGGCCCAGAGGUAGGGAGCAGGCGAGGAGGCGCGCGCCCAGGGACGAGCGGGGCGCUGCGAGGGAAGGCGCGCCCACUAGAUCCCUUUGGGCCUCUACGGACCCCACCUGCGCGCAGUGCUAGGACCCUCGAUAGGAAGAUGAGUUCAAGUGAUACGGGACAAUGGCUGACUAAAAAGUACGUUCAGGAGUAGGGAUCUUGCUCAGAAGUAGAUUCCCAAGGCUCCGAGUUUCAUCUCUAGCAGGCACAUUCCUCAGGUCAGAUCGAGUGGCAACAAUGUAUGUGAAAUGUACCUGGUUCCUGCAUAUUUUGAAACAGGGUUUCAUGCUGUAAACCCAGCCUGGCUUGGAAUUCCAGUAUUUUAUCCUCCCUGGUGCUGGGAUCACAGGCGGGUGUUGUGUGUGUGUGUGUGUGUGUGUGUGUGUGUGUGUGUGUGUGUGUGUGUGAGAGAGAGAGAGAGAGAGAGAGAGAGAGAGAGAGAGAGAGAGAACGGAGGCAAGCAUGUGGAUGUGCACAACCUUUAGGAGUCAGCUGGCCUCUUGCACCAUGUUGAGUUCUAAGGAUUGAGCUCAGUCUUCAAGCUUGGCGGCAAGCACCCUUUUUACGUACCGUGCUAGCUCUGUUAAUUUCGUGUAUGUGUGUCCUUGUAUGUGAGGGCUCGUGUGGAGGUCAAAGGAAAACUUUACACAUUGGUCCUAGGUCCCUAGCUCGUCUGAGGUAGGGUUUCUCAUCUGCAGAGUACUCCAGGCUGGUUGGCCCAGGUUUCAGGGGAAUUCCAUCAUUGCCUGCUACUUUGCUGUGGGAGUGCUAUGAUUACAGACCUGCGACAUUGUGUCUGGCUUUUAUAGGAAUUCUAAGGAUCCAAAUGUACAUUGUCAGGCUUGCUUCACCAGUGUUUUUCACCACUAAGGCAUCUCUUAGGAUGCCUCCAUGAAUACUUUCACUUCUUGAUUUUGGAUAGUGAGAAUUCAGACAAGGUUACCCAAGAAAAGGAAAAACAAACAUACAUACAUCUGUUUCAGAUUUAUUGGGUGAUCCAGCUUUGUCUCAAAAGAAGCAUUCAAACAUAUCUGCUUGAUUCAGUGGGGAGGAACACUUGUCACUAUAACAGCGACACACUUUGAGUACUAAUACCCAGCCAGUUGCUGCAUCCGCGCAAGCUGUAAACGGAUCAAUCACUUGCUUGGAACAACUUAAUGUGCGUCUGUUACCAUUUUAUAAUUGUUUUUCUUUUUUUUUCUUUUUUCUUUUUUUUCGGAGCUGGGGACCGAACCCAGGGCCUUGCGCUUGCUAGGCAAGCGCUCCACCACUGAGCUAAAUCCCCAACCCCUAUAAUUGUUUUUAAAGACAAGGUUUUACUAUAAAGCCACUGGCUGUCCUGGAACUUGCUUUGUAGACCAGGCUAGUUUCAAACUCAGAGAGAUCUACCUGCUUCUGCCUCUAGAGUGCUGGAUUAAAGGUCUCCUUGCCCGGCAAAUUAGUGUUCUAUAAUUAACAUUGAGGACUCUGAGUCCCCAUAAUGUUCCCUUCACAAUCCCGGUUUUCCUCUUUAACAGAUGGGGAUAUAGAGGCGCAGAAAAGUGAGUUUUCUACGUCGUCACAUACUGUCACUGUGAGUGGCAAUAGAGUUAAAUCCUUGACUCACCGUUUACUAUUUGGGCAGGGUCCAUGUGUGUUUAGAGGUUAGACCAUCUUCUAGUCUGUUAAAAUAGUGUGGCUGAGGCUAUACCCAGUGGGAGAAUGCUUGCUUAGCAUGCUCCAGGUCCUGGGUUCAAUUUCCAGUGCUGAGAAAAAAAAUCAUGCAGGGGCAAUGAUGUAUGGGGGUGACUCGGCCACACUUGUCUACUAACUAUAUCUUCCCUAUUUCCAUCUAAACUAGUAUACCUCUGUGGGUUUUAUUACUAAUGAUUAUUAUUGUUGUUGUUGUUUAAAGGUUUUUUGGGUUUUUUUUUUUGUUUUUUUGUUUUGGUUUUCAAAACAGGGUUUCUCUGCAUAACCUUGGCUGUUCUGAAACUCACUCUAUAGACCAGGCUGGCCUUGAACUCAAGAGAGCCCCCUGCCUCUGCCCCUUGAGUGCUGGAAUUAAAGGCAUGCGUGUGCUGCCACCAACGCCUGGUUUUAAGGUUUGUUUUUAUUUUUGUGUGAGUAUCUGUGUCAGUAGAUGUCACUUGUGUAGUGGUACCCAUGGGGCCAGAAAGAGGGUGUUGGAUCCCUGAGAACUAGAGUUGACGGUUGUGACCCACCUGAUACAGAUGCUGGGAAGCAAACCACAGUCCUUUAGACGAACAAGUGCUCUCAAUCACUAAGCCAGAUCUCUCAAGCCUCAGGUUUAUUGUUCUUUAAAAACAAACGGACAGGGCUGGAGAGAUGGCUCAGAGGUUAAGAGCACUGUCUGCUCUUCCAGAGGUCCUGAGUUCAAUUCCCAGCAACCACAUGGUGGCUCACAACCAUCUAUAAUCAGGUCUGGUGCCCUCUUCUGGCCUGCAGGCAUACAUGCAGGCAGAAAGCUGUAUGAUGUAUACAUAAUAAAUAAAUGUUU